GAUUUUAGCGGCGGACGGGUGAGUAACACGUGGGCAACCUACCUUGUAGAUUGGGAUAACUCCGGGAAACCGGGGCUAAUACCGAAUAAUCCAUUUUGCUUCAUGGCGAAAUGUUAAAAGGCGGCUUCGGCUGUCACUGCAAGAUGGGCCCGCGGCGCAUUAGCUAGUUGGUAAGGUAACGGCUUACCAAGGCGACGAUGCGUAGCCGACCUGAGAGGGUGAUCGGCCACACUGGGACUGAGACACGGCCCAGACUCCUACGGGAGGCAGCAGUAGGGAAUCUUCCACAAUGGACGAAAGUCUGAUGGAGCAACGCCGCGUGAGUGAAGAAGGUUUUCGGAUCGUAAAACUCUGUUGUAAGGGAAGAACACGUACGAGAGUAACUGCUCGUACCUUGACGGUACCUUAUUAGAAAGCCACGGCUAACUACGUGCCAGCAGCCGCGGUAAUACGUAGGUGGCAAGCGUUGUCCGGAAUUAUUGGGCGUAAAGCGCGCGCAGGCGGUCCUUUAAGUCUGAUGUGAAAGCCCACGGCUCAACCGUGGAGGGUCAUUGGAAACUGGGGGACUUGAGUACAGAAGAGGAAAGCGGAAUUCCAAGUGUAGCGGUGAAAUGCGUAGAGAUUUGGAGGAACACCAGUGGCGAAGGCGGCUUUCUGGUCUGUAACUGACGCUGAGGCGCGAAAGCGUGGGGAGCAAACAGGAUUAGAU
This 709-nucleotide ribosomal RNA is filed under the name Paenisporosarcina quisquiliarum. Its description in RNAcentral is "bacterial SSU rRNA". It matches the Rfam family "Bacterial small subunit ribosomal RNA", at positions 88 to 783 of the family's 1533-position model. Lineage: Bacteria; Bacillati; Bacillota; Bacilli; Caryophanales; Caryophanaceae. The record is from RNAcentral.